AUACGGAGGGGGCAAGCGUUGUUCGGAAUUAUUGGGCGUAAAGGGCACGUAGGCGGUCAAGUAAGUUGGUGGUGAAAGCCCUCGGCUCAACCGAGGAAUUGCCCCCAAAACUGCUAGACUUGAGUCCCGGAGAGGGUGGCGGAAUUCCCAGUGUAGCGGUGAAAUGCGUAGAUAUUGGGAGGAACACCAGUGGCGAAGGCGGUCACCUGGACGGGUACUGACGCUGAGGUGCGAAAGCGUGGGGAGCAAACAGGAUUAGAAACCCCUGUAGUCC
RNAcentral lists this ribosomal RNA (274 nucleotides) under uncultured bacterium. RNAcentral's name for it is "partial 16S ribosomal RNA". It matches the Rfam family "Bacterial small subunit ribosomal RNA", at positions 523 to 796 of the family's 1533-position model. The record is from RNAcentral.